This 440-nucleotide ribosomal RNA is filed under the name uncultured bacterium. RNAcentral describes it as "partial 16S ribosomal RNA". It matches the Rfam family "Bacterial small subunit ribosomal RNA", at positions 338 to 795 of the family's 1533-position model. The record is from RNAcentral.
CCUACGGUGUGCAGCAGUGGGGAAUAUUGCACAAUGGGGGGAACCCUGAUGCAGCGACGCCGCGUGAGUGAAGAAGUAUUUCGGUAUGUAAAGCUCUAUCAGCAGGGAAGAAGAUGACGGUACCUGACUAAGAAGCCCCGGCUAACUACGUGCCAGCAGCCGCGGUAAUACGUAGGGGGCAAGCGUUAUCCGGAUUUACUGGGUGUAAAGGGAGCGUAGACGGCAGGGCAAGUCUGGAGUGAAGGCCCGGGGCCCAACCCCGGGACUGCUUUGGAAACUGCCAUGCUAGAGUGCUGGAGAGGAAAGCGGAAUUCCUGGUGUAGCGGUGAAAUGCGUAGAUAUUAGGAGGAACACCGGUGGCGAAGGCGUCUUACUGGACCGAAACUGACGUUGAGGCUCGAAAGCGUGGGGAGCAAACAGGAUUAGAUACCCGAGUAGUC